Molecule: ribosomal RNA, 253 nt
Filed under: uncultured prokaryote
Description: partial 16S ribosomal RNA
Rfam family: Bacterial small subunit ribosomal RNA
Source: RNAcentral
ACGGGGGGAGCAAACGUUGUUCGGAAUCACUGGGCGUAAAGGGCGUGUAGGCGGCUGAAUAAGUGGGAUGUUAAAUCCCCAGGCUCAACCUGGGAACUGCAUCUCAUACUGUUCAGCUCGAGCACAUCAGAGGAGACUGGAAUUCCCGGUGUAGCGGUGAAAUGCGUAGAUAUCGGGAGGAAGGCCGGUGGCGAAGGCGGCGCUCUGGAACGUUUCUGACGCUGAGGCUCGAAAGCGUGGGGAGCAAACAGGA